AUAUAUAUCUCGAGGUACGGCUGUAUACAUGUGGAGAUAGAGGUGCUAGGGUUUAACAUAUAUACAUAGAUAUAUAUAUGGUAGGGAGAAGAGAAAAACAUUGAGAAGAAAAUAUAGGUUUCGUGAAUGUGUGCUCUAGAGUUUUUUUUGUGUGAACAAAUAUUCAGAUCAUAGUAUAGUCCUGUGUGGCAAGAGACCUUCGUGACUCCAUUGAAGACCUUCGUGGCUUCAAGUCCUUCGUGGCAUUUCGAGACCUUCGUGGCUUCAAGUCCUUCGUGGCAUUUCGAGACCUUCGUGGCUCCAUUCAAGACCUUCGUGGCUUCAACGACCUCCGUGGCGUUAUCAUCCUUCGUGGCAACAAAGACCUUUGUGGCUUUGUAUUACACUUGACCGUGUUCUUCAAGUGUGAAGUAAUUUUACUUUUGAGAAUAUAUUACUUUUGAUCAUGUGUUGUCAAGUAAUUGUAAUCUUCUAUUCAAUAGUAAAGUAAAGUUCUUCUAUAUAAUCCGCUGCUUAUCUCAUAAUCGUUCUAUCUAGUAUUUUCAUUUGGUAUCAGAGCAGGUGCUGGAGGUGUCCGGUAGAUCUAGCUAAAGAUGGAACGAAAUGGGUUGAAUCAACCGCCCAUGCUCAAAGGAAUGGAUUUUGCUCAAUGGAAACUUCAAAUGAGAUCAUUCAUUUAUGGCAUUGAUUUUCAUGCAUGGAGAAGUGUGGAACGUGGCUGGAAAGCUCCUGAGAUUUCUACGGAUGGAAAAGCUCCAGAAGGGUCGUCAUCUAAAUUAAAGGACGAAGAUGAUUGGGAUGAAAAAGAGAUCAAACUGAGUGAAGCUAAUCACAAAGCCUUAAAUGCUCUCUAUGCUGCUCUAAGCAGAGAUGAAAAAAAGAAGGUUCAGAAUUGUGUUACCGCCAAACAGGUUUGGGAUAAAUUAUGUGUUCUUCAUGAAGGUAAUGAUGUUGUAAAAGAACAAAGGUUACAACAAUACUAUUCUGAAAUUGAUGCUUUGAAAAUGAAAGAUGAUGAAUCUAUUGAUGAUUUUUAUGCUCGUUUUACUGAUCUUUCUAGUUUAUGUGAAAGCUUGGGACGUCCUUUAAAAGAAUCUGAUAUUGUCAGGAAAAUUUUGAGAUCUCUUCCAAAGAAGUACAGGAUAAAAAAGACGACGAUUCAGGAGCAAUACAACUUGAAUGAAUAUUCAGUAGAUUUGUUGAUCGGAAAUCUGAAGGCUUGGGAAAUGGAACUUGAAGAUGACGAAAAACCUAAAGGUACAAGUUCAAAAAAAUAUUGCUUUGAAAUGUCNNNNNNNNNNNNNNNNNNNNUAU
Molecule: long non-coding RNA, 1314 nt
Filed under: Fragaria vesca (wild strawberry)
Lineage: Eukaryota; Viridiplantae; Streptophyta; Magnoliopsida; Rosales; Rosaceae
Description: long non-coding RNA (FVES_LNC001905)
Source: RNAcentral